Monodelphis domestica (gray short-tailed opossum) is the source of this 1510-nucleotide long non-coding RNA. RefSeq lists it as uncharacterized. NCBI's taxonomy places the organism in Eukaryota, Metazoa, Chordata, Mammalia, Didelphimorphia, Didelphidae. The record is from RefSeq and is a predicted model, not a curated record.
GAGGGCUGGGUGGUGAAACUUGACUGUGAAGGAGCUUGAGUGUGAGACCUUAGACUGCUUCCCUUAGAUUGUCAUGUGGGUAUACACAUCCCUAUAUGUCUAUUCUGCAUUGGAUCCAAUAUAAUUUGAAUUAAUUUGAUCAAACAAAACUCUUUCUUCUAAAGUCAUUGAAGUCCAGUGUCAAGAAAAAAGCCAGGAUGACUAGAGAUGGCUAAGGAUGCAGUGGAUGAUCUUGGCUUCUUUGAUGUGUAACCAAGUCUUCAUAUGCUUGUAGCAGAACUAGCUCACUGAAGGACUUGAGUAUUGUUGGUUAACCUCAACCUGGUUUAUCCUGUCUUCUGAAAUGUUUUUUACUGGGAUGUGGCCACUACAAGAUGCUACUGCUUCUUCAACCCACAGGACAUGAGUGAUCUAAGAUAUCAGAUGCAGAAGAGGGACCUAGACAUGGUUCUAGAUCCAAAGGAACACGGAACAUAGAACAUUUUCAACAGGAAGCACCCAGGGUACAAGUGAUAUUCUUCCAUUGAACCUGGAAACCAUGGUGACUAGGGAGCCACAGUUGCAGAUACAGUCAGCCAAACUGGUAUAGAAGCCCAGAGAAGCCAGUGUGCCUGGAAUUUGAGCCCAAGACAAGUUUUGGUGUUGGAACUGGAAUUGUAAUUACAUAAGUGAGAUAAAUUAUAAACCUAAUCCAUUCCACAGAGAUUGAGGUGGUGUCAUGGUAGAGGAUGAUUAAUUUGUUCAUGUUGGGGAGUUAAUUUGUUUAUUUGUGAUUAUACCUUUGAAGUAAAUAAUUCUUUGUAAAAUGAAAUUUAACUAUUCAAGAUUCAAUGAUACUGGGGUGCUAGAGACCACCCUAUACUUUGAGGGUAAACUAUCAAUGGGAGCUGGAACUGCUGGCAGAAAGCCUAGAUAUUUCAAAACCCUUGUGGGUACCAAAAAGUAUCUGAGAAAGGGGUGAUAUAUAACACAAUUGUUUUAAAGCAGGGGUUGUCAGGGUAGCAAACAUUGCAUAAAAUUUUUUUUUUGCUCUCUAUAGAGAGCUCAUUUAAAGAUACAGCUAUCAAUCUGAAAGAAUUUCUUCAAAUCCCUUUGCUCCAACUCAUCCUUUCCUUUCCUCUUCUCCCAACAUUGCCUGGGGCUUGGUUCUAAGGAGGAUGUGUAAACAGAACCAGGGAUAUGUCAAGAAGAGGUAUUGGCAGUCACAAUUCCCUAAACAUUUUUAUUUCAGUUCCAUAACCCAUUCUGUUCAAACCAAUAUCAUUCUGACUGAUUAAAAUUAAAUCAAUAGUUCAGCCUAUCUUAUAUCUAUAUUAAGAAAAUAGUAUCCCUUUUUGCAUGCAUUGAUGUAUCAUUUCCCCAGAUGUGUCCCUGUUUUCUCCACAGUAAUGGUAGAAGAGAUGGAAAUGGUAGAAUGGUUAAAUGCACAGUAUUUCAAGAUUGAAUGCAUUAGUCAUAUAAAUGAAAAAAAAAGUUACAGAUAAGGAAACACGGAAAUCCAUGAAUACAA